RNAcentral lists this ribosomal RNA (459 nucleotides) under uncultured Cryomorphaceae bacterium. RNAcentral's name for it is "bacterial LSU rRNA". It matches the Rfam family "Bacterial large subunit ribosomal RNA", at positions 1 to 474 of the family's 2925-position model. The record is from RNAcentral. Lineage: Bacteria; Pseudomonadati; Bacteroidota; Flavobacteriia; Flavobacteriales; Cryomorphaceae.
UUAAAAGCAAAUAAGAGCGCAUGGCGGAUGCCUUGGCUCUCAGAGGCGAUGAAGGACGUGAUAAGCUGCGAUAAGCUUCGGUGAGGUGCAAAUAACCUUUUACCCGGAGAUUUCCGAAUGGGGAAACCCAGCUGGUUGAAGACCAGUUACCCGCAAGGGGGCAAACCCGGUGAACUGAAACAUCUAAGUAACCGGAGGAAGAGAAAACAAAUAGUGAUUUCCUUAGUAGUGGCGAACGAACGGGAAAUAGCCCAAACCAGUGUUGUCUUUGGCAAUGCUGGGGUUGUAGGACUGCAACGUGGACUUAUGUUUAAUAGAAGAAUCAACUGGAAAGUUGAACGAUACAGGGUGAUAGUCCCGUAUUCGAAAUUAAAUAUAUACCUAGCAGUAUCCUGAGUAGGGCGGGACAUGUGAAAUCCUGUCUGAAUCUGCCGGAACCAUCCGGUAAGGCUAAAUACU